GAAUAUUGGACAAUGGGGGGAACCCUGAUCCAGCCAUGCCGCGUGUGUGAAGAAGGCCUUUUGGUUGUAAAGCACUUUAAUCGAGGAGGAAGCUACUCUAGGUAAUACCUAGAGAUAGUGGCUGGUACUCACUGAAUAAGCACCGGCUAACUCUGUGCCACCCGCCGCGGUAAUACAGAGGGUGCAAGCUGUAAUCGGCAUUACUGGGCGUAAAGCGCGCGUAGUGGGCAAAUUAAGCAAAAUUGGAAAUCCCCGAGCUUAACUUGGGAAUUGCAUUCGGUACUGGUUGGCUAGAGUAUGGGAGAGGAUGGUAUAAUUCCAGGUGUGGCGGGGAAAUGCGUAGAGAUCUGGAGGAAUACCGAUGGCGAAGGCAGCCAUCUGGCCUAAUACUGACACUGAGGUGCGAAAGCAUGGGGAGCAAACAG
This 425-nucleotide ribosomal RNA is filed under the name uncultured bacterium. RNAcentral describes it as "partial 16S ribosomal RNA". It matches the Rfam family "Bacterial small subunit ribosomal RNA", at positions 359 to 775 of the family's 1533-position model. The record is from RNAcentral.